This 422-nucleotide ribosomal RNA is filed under the name uncultured bacterium. Its description in RNAcentral is "bacterial SSU rRNA". It matches the Rfam family "Bacterial small subunit ribosomal RNA", at positions 362 to 776 of the family's 1533-position model. The record is from RNAcentral.
UAUUGCGCAAUGGGGGCAACCCUGACGCAGCCAUGCCGCGUGAAUGAAGAAGGCCUUCGGGUUGUAAAGUUCUUUCGGUAGCGAGGAAGGCAUUUAGUUUAAUAGACUAGGUGAUUGACGUUAACUACAGAAGAAGCACCGGCUAACUCCGUGCCAGCAGCCGCGGUAAUACGGAGGGUGCGAGCGUUAAUUGGAAUAACUGGGCGUAAAGGGCACGCAGGCGGUGACUUAAGUGAGGUGUGAAAGCCCCGGGCUUAACCUGGGAAUUGCAUUUCAUACUGGGUCGCUAGAGUACUUUAGGGAGGGGUAGAAUUCCACGUGUAGCGGUGAAAUGCGUAGAGAUGUGGAGGAAUACCGAAGGCGAAGGCAGCCCCUUGGGAAUGUACUGACGCUCAUGUGCGAAAGCGUGGGGAGCAAACAGG